Molecule: ribosomal RNA, 442 nt
Filed under: uncultured bacterium
Lineage: Bacteria
Description: partial 16S ribosomal RNA
Rfam family: Bacterial small subunit ribosomal RNA
Source: RNAcentral
CCUACGGGUGGCAGCAGUGGGGGAUAUUGGACAAUGGGGGAAACCCUGAUCCAGUGACGCCGCGUGAGUGAAGAAGUAUUUCGGUAUGUAAAGCUCUGUCAGCAGGGAAGAAAGAAAUGACGGUACCUGACCAAGAAGCCCCGGCUAACUACGUGCCAGCAGCCGCGUUAAUACGGAGGAUGCGAGCGUUAUCCGGAUUUAUUGGGUUUAAAGGGUGCGUAGGCGGAUCGUUAAGUCAGUGGACAAAUUGAGGGGCUCAACCCCUUCCAGCCAUUGAAACUGGCGCUCUUGAGUGGAAGAGAAGUAUGCGGAAUGCGUGGUGUAGCGGUGAAAUGCAUAGAUAUCACGCAGAACCCCGAUUGCGAAGGCAGCAUGCCGGCUUCCGACUGACGCUGAAGCACGAAAGCGUGGGGAUCGAACAGGAUUAGAUACCCUUGUAGUC